AGUAACGCGUAUGCAACCUACCCAUUACUGGAGGAUAGGCCGAAGAAAUUCGGAUUAAUACUCCAUAAUAUCAUUAGAUCUCAUGUUCUGAUGAUUAAAGCUCCGGCGGUAAUGGAUGGGCAUGCGUGACAUUAGUUUGUUGGUGAGGUAACGGCUCACCAAGACUACGAUGUCUAGGGGGUCUUAAAGGAUGAUCCCCCACACUGGUACUGAGACACGGACCAG
RNAcentral lists this ribosomal RNA (225 nucleotides) under uncultured bacterium. RNAcentral describes it as "partial 16S ribosomal RNA". It matches the Rfam family "Bacterial small subunit ribosomal RNA", at positions 109 to 334 of the family's 1533-position model. The record is from RNAcentral.